Long non-coding RNA from Cygnus olor (mute swan), 3059 nucleotides. RefSeq lists it as uncharacterized. The transcript is spliced from 2 exons. Lineage: Eukaryota; Metazoa; Chordata; Aves; Anseriformes; Anatidae. The record is from RefSeq and is a predicted model, not a curated record.
AGCAAUUAUUUCCUUUAUGUAGUAGGUGUGGUCCGCUGCAGAACUGCAAAUCGGCAGAAAAGGUUUUUUCCAACAGUAAGACUGAAGGAGGCCAUACUCUACCCUAUUCUGUGCCCUUACAAACAGAUCACCAGUUCCAACUUCUGGAGUCAGUUGGAUAUGGAAAAUAAUCUGGGUGCUCAUUUAGAAAGAAAAGAGUGUGCAGAGGCAUGCUUUGGAAAUUUUGGAAAGUUGAAGUCAGACUUACAACUUCUGAAGCCCUGAUUCAUGGUUCCUGAACGUGUGGGAUUACUGAUGUGGUAAAAGAUUUGAACCUUGAAGCAUGAAAGGCAGGUCACAUCCUGGGGGACUCUGUGAUGAGGCAUGUCUUGCUUGUUCAGCCUGCUGGAAGCCCAGAAGCUCUACAUUCCCAAUGUGUGUGUAUGCGUGUGUGUGUGUGUGGAACAGGGGCAAGUCCCCAUUUUGUUAGUCCUUUUUUGGGCACCUUGAUGUCUACUACAUCUACUAGAGCAUCCGUUUCUACUUCAUUCUUCCUCACCACCCAUCUUCUGUGUAGACCUUGUAGCAAUAUGCUGUUACUUUCUCCCUGACCUGGGACCCAGCUGCAAAUGCUAACAAGCUCUUCUACUCUCUUGUUAAUCUCCAGACUGUUCCCAAGCAGUAUUCAUCAGAGAAGGACUUUAUUUCCAGGGGCGGUGAAGUGACUAACCCAAGAUCAAACAGCAGGGCAGUAGCAGAGGCAGGAACUGAAAUCAAGCCUUCUGACUCAAGUUUCUCUUGGCCACAGCCUCUGGGUUACAUGGCAGAACUCAUCAGUGCUGUAAGUUUCAGCAGUUGCUGAAACAAAACCUAAUUUUCUUUCCCAGUGAUAUCGUAUCUGUGUCAUCCUGUUCUCUGCCUACUCGGAAGCAGCUCCUCAGCAUUUGACUUUAAAAAGGGAAGGCAAGCAGGAGACGUGUCUAAGUGGUUGCACUCUUUUGAUCGAUGAGAGAGGUGAGCCAGAAUGUGUUCCAGUGACCUCCUGCUAUAUAAAAGCUUGGCCUGCCUGACAGGACUUCUGGCUGCUGAGUAGCUGUGAGUCACAGCCUUUACUGCUUGGAUUUGAUGCGGAUUUUUACAUCAGACGCUGCGGAAACGAGGUGGCCUCUCAAAUAUUUGCAUUGCUUGGCAAGCUAGGGGGCUCUUCUCACCUAACGAGACAGCACAGGAUGUUUUCCAAAGAGCUUUGCAGACUGCCAAAACUUCCCUGCAAGUGAGUACAGAAAUCCACUGGAAAGCAGCAUAUUAAAGGUAGGUCAGCCCUCCUGAUCUGUGGAGCUGCAGAACACAGUUUUCAUGUGCCCUUGAGCCACAAGAAGCUUCAACAAGGCUGUGGGUGGUGGAGGCAGCAGAGACCUCCAUGAGAAGUUCAAAGGCUGCAGAUGAGGGCAGCUCUCUAGAAAUCCUGCUGCUCUCUGGCUUGGCUGGAAUUGAAGCUGGAAGAUGGGGCGAGCACUUGGAUGCCAUAAAGCUGGCUUGGUCACACCCACAGCGAUGAUCUUGGACCACAUUAGCCAAAACCUACUAGUGAAGCCCUCCUGUAGUUUAAGCACCAGCUUCCUGAAUCUGCUUGAGAGCCAUCCUUGCAAAAUUACGAGUAGAUUGGGCAGAGGAAAUCAAAAUAUCUGUGACCUAGAGACAAGCUCAGAUCUAUUGUGUACUGGCAUGAAUCUGAAAUGGAGAGCAAGGAUCUGCAGUAAAAUGAUCAGUGGGCAUUAUUAAAAAGAAGGAAAAGAGUGAAGUGUCUUUCCAGCUGUCAGCACACUUGCUGUUCAGUUAGAUUGUCACUUCUUCAGCCUGCUAAUUUUCCUUUUCAGUUACAGAAACUUGCUUGAAUGCAGAAUGUAAAAUGAGAAAGCUGUGGGAACUGCUUGGAGAGUACAGAUGAGGCCCUGUAGGAACACGUGCAUCAGCCACAAAGAGCGAAGAUGCACGUGCAUUUAAGGAUCCGAAUUCUUAGCCCUUAAUGCUGCAUGUCUUUGAUAGCAUUAUGAUGUAUUUUGCACACCAGAAAGACCAUCCUGUGUAGAAAAAUCUCUUCUCUCCAGCCUUGCAAAGCAGUUGGGCACUGGUCCUGCCAGAAAGUCUGUAGAGACUUGAGCAGACCUUUGGCCUCUCUGAAUGUUUGCCAGCCAACAGCAACUGGCAUGAUCAGGGCCUCGAGCUACACCUUGGGAAGUGCUGCUAUUUAUCUCUGCACUUGAUUGCACCCAAUUACUUGCUAAGAACACGUUCUUUGAAAAAAGAUCUGGAGCUGGAUCCUUCUCUCAUUGCGACUCUGCCAGCUGCCGUCCCCAAAGCUAUUUUUAAUCAGACAAGCUUCCCCGUCCCUGCCAAAAAAACUCGUAACAAUUAAUGACAAUAAAAUGAAGGUAGCCUGGAUAAAUGAGUUGCACUUGCUCUAUAAAUCAGCAGCAAAGGCAGCUAGGGAAGAUCAGCGCUGCAUCGCUAAUACGCUUUCCUCCCUUUUGCUGUAGCCUGGGUCUCCCGCUUCACUCUUGGUCCCUCCACUUUGCGGUUCCGCCAGUCCCCGUGCUGCCUGUGGCAGGUAGAUCAGCAGAUGGGCACGGGCACCUCGGCACAGCGUGUUGCUUUGAUCCAUCUCAUUGCAGAUGUGAGAUGGGUGUGAAUGAUCCCGCUUACGUGCCCGUCACGUUGCGCUACUAAGUUCAUUAAUUCUGGGAGCUGCAAUACUACAAAGAGCUGCACCUACAGCAGGCUUGGUGGUUAGGUUAGGUCUCUGCACUGUCAUGUUGCAGCCUCUUGUGUGAUUAUUUGCCUGCAGGCAUGUGUGUCCCUGUGCUGUGAUCCUGUCAGGAGUUAAGCUGUGUUGGGCUGGAUCAGAGCGUGGACAGAAGGCCUCCAAGGACACAUGGCCGAAGCCAUUUCAGGCAGCGAUCCCAUUAAACAGGAAGUGGUACUAUGCCCUCAGCCUGGGCACAAACUGCUAUUGCUUUGCUCACGGGUGGUAAGAAAGCAUUCCCUGAUAAUUUUAUUGAAAAAAAAAGGAAAAGAGAAAA